Molecule: ribosomal RNA, 460 nt
Filed under: uncultured bacterium
Lineage: Bacteria
Description: partial 16S ribosomal RNA
Rfam family: Bacterial small subunit ribosomal RNA
Source: RNAcentral
CCUACGGGUGGCUGCAGUGAGGAAUAUUGGUCAAUGGGCGGGAGCCUGAACCAGCCAAGUCGCGUGAGGGAAGACGGUCCUAUGGAUUGUAAACCUCUUUAGGCGGGGAGCAAUGCCGGGCACGCGUGCCCGGAGGGAGAGUACCCGCAGAAUAAGCAUCGGCUAACUCCGUGCCAGCAGCCGCGGUAAUACGGAGGAUGCGAGCGUUAUCCGGAAUUACUGGGCGUAAAGGGUGCGUAGGUGGUUUCUUAAGUCAGAGGUGAAAGGCUACGGCUCAACCGUAGUAAGCCUUUGAAACUGGGGAACUUGAGUGCAGGAGAGGAGAGUGGAAUUCCUAGUGUAGCGGUGAAAUGCGUAGAUAUUAGGAGGAACACCAGUUGCGAAGGCGGCUCUCUGGACUGUAACUGACACUGAGGCACGAAAGCGUGGGGAGCAAACAGGAUUAGAUACCCUAGUAGUC